AACAGAAAGGGUAUGCGACUCUUUAAAAUCUAAAAGUUGUUUGUGUCAGAGUGCACGCUGGAAGUUCUAGAACAUGGCUAAUGUGAUGUAAACAGAGUCAACUGAGUCCCUAAUCAAGAAGCCAUGAGACACAUUUUCUAUCACACUGCUGGUUUUUUAUGUAGUUUGUGUUCCACUUAUGGCAUGUUUUUAACGUUAUUGAUAUUUUAUUGUAUGCAUUUUGAGGCAAGAAUUUUACUUAGGGGUACCAGAGAAAGAUGGCUCAGUCAUAGAUAAUACUUUAUAUUAUUGUAGUAGACCUGGGCUUGGAUCUCAGCUUCCACAUGGAGGCUCACCAACUGACUAAAAAUUUAAUCCUGGGGGGUUCUGACAAGCUAUGUCUGCCUCUACAGUGACUGUAGUCUCAUAGUGCACAUAUAUAUGUGCUGGAAAAACAUUCAUACACACAAAAUGAAGAUGGUUGGUUCAUUGGGCAGAUCCUGACUCUUAAUAAUCAGGGCUGUGUGAGAGUCAGCUCCAGCCUGAGGUAGAAGUCUUUGACUCUGACCUCACCUCCCUCCAGAACUGCAAUUAACAUUUUACUUCCAGUAGGAAUGACAGCCCUGGCUUUGGGAGACCAAAAUUUUCCAGUUGCUAAUUAACAAAGACAAUUAAGUUUUUUUUGUGAAUAUCUUCAAAGAGACAGGGUGUUUUGUAGAAGCGCUGAGUUUUCAUCAUCCAUGAAGGUUGACUGGGGUUAUGGAAAUUGCUGGAGACUUUGAGGUCAUCUUCAUGAGAAAAUUACAGAAGUUUCUAUGUCCUAUCAAA
Molecule: long non-coding RNA, 807 nt
Organism: Peromyscus eremicus (cactus mouse)
Lineage: Eukaryota; Metazoa; Chordata; Mammalia; Rodentia; Cricetidae
Exons: 2
Source: RefSeq, a predicted model, not a curated record